UUGGAAAAAAGCAGUACUGGUUGUCCGACAGUAACUCCCAUUACAUUUGAUGAUGUUGACGCGGCGGAAGCAGGUCCAUCAAAAGAAUUCUGGAGCAGCAGAAGUUGGACUUCAGUAACACAACAGGCAAAAAAAAAUGGGGCAGCAAAGAAAGCAAGGUCUGAUGUUUAGGGCCAACCACAGCAGGCUACCCGCCACGAAGAUUAUCGACAGUAUGUUCGGGCCCCACACUCCAAAUUUUGGACACACCUCCAAGACGUGAACCACACUCCCCUCAGCUUGAUUUCCUGGUAACAGCAUCCCUCUGCAACAACAGCAAACAAGCAGCAGUUCUGGUACGACUACUCCAAAUAUCACGCCAAUGUCAUCACCACCAAGACGCUCCACCAGAGCACGCCAACAUGACAGUGGUAAAGGCAAAGGACAGGACAAGCAGCCAACCAAAAUCAAUUAACAUUGAAAACUCAAAUUUUUUAUUUCAGAGAAGUAAAUAAAAAUACUUCGUAAGUGUAUGUUUGUUAAAAAAGAUAUAACACUUAGCUCCUUGACAAUUUGAACAACAUCCUUAAUUAGAAGUGGUACAAACAGCAACAGGAAAUUCGUAUGCACAUUUAUUCUGUACCAUUUUUGCAAUUUUUGGAGGAGGGAAAUGUUUGUGAUGCACAUAGAUGUUAGCAGGAAGUAACCAGACCACUUGAUUUUUUUCUAAUCAUUACUCUUUCUAGAUUCCAAUCAAUCUCAGAUCCUGCACACACAAUAAUUGGCAGCCAGCAAGAAUGUCUUUAGCAGGAAGUAACCAGACCACUUGAUUUUUUUCUAAUCAUUACUCUUUCUAGAUUCCAAUCAAUCUCAGAUCCUGCACACACAAUAAUUGGCAGCCAGGCAUAAUCAUCCAUGACCAAUGCAAGUUACAAUGUGAAUUAAAACUGGUUUACAUUUCUUCUGUAGACGACUUUACAAGAAAAACACCAUAGAGUUGUGUAAAAGUGUCCUAAUAUGUUUGUGUACAUUUAUAUUUUCAUUACCAAAAUGAAUGACAUUAUUGUUGUGGCAUGUUUGUGUGUGUAAAAAAUGAGUAAUCAUAUUUAAAAACCUGAGGCACAACCCACAAAAUAAAAAAGAUUUUAACUUUUAACACUAAUAUGUGUAAUAAUGGAUAUAUGUUGAAAAAUGUGUAUUGACUUUUAAAAGUCCAAAUUUACUCCAGCAAACAUAAGGCAAUAAAUUAUU
This is a long non-coding RNA of Pseudophryne corroboree (corroboree frog), 1230 nucleotides long. RefSeq lists it as uncharacterized. The record is from RefSeq and is a predicted model, not a curated record. NCBI's taxonomy places the organism in Eukaryota, Metazoa, Chordata, Amphibia, Anura, Myobatrachidae. The transcript is spliced from 3 exons.